This 460-nucleotide ribosomal RNA is filed under the name uncultured bacterium. Its description in RNAcentral is "partial 16S ribosomal RNA". It matches the Rfam family "Bacterial small subunit ribosomal RNA", at positions 338 to 795 of the family's 1533-position model. The record is from RNAcentral.
CCUACGGGAGGCAGCAGUGAGGAAUAUUGGUCAAUGGACGAGAGUCUGAACCAGCCAAGUAGCGUGAAGGAUGACUGCCCUAUGGGUUGUAAACUUCUUUUAUAUGGGAAUAAAAUGUUCCACGUGUGGGAUUUUGUAUGUACCAUAUGAAUAAGGCUCGGCUAACUCCGUGCCAGCAGCCGCGGUAAUACGGAGGAUCCGAGCGUUAUCCGGAUUUAUUGGGUUUAAAGGGAGCGUAGGUGGAUUGUUAAGUCAGUUGUGAAAGUUUGCGGCUCAACCGUAAAAUUGCAGUUGACACUGGCAGUCUUGAGUACAGUAGAGGUGGGCGGAAUUCGUGGUGUAGCGGUGAAAUGCUUAGAUAUCACGAAGAACUCCGAUUGCGAAGGCAGUUCACUGGACUGCAACUGACACUGAGGCUCGAAAGUGUGGGUAUCAAACAGGAUUAGAUACCCUUGUAGUC